UCCCUCAUGGCUCAGUCGGUAAAGAGUCUGCCUGCAAUGCAGGAGACCCGGGUUUGAUCCCUGGGUUGGGAA
Molecule: transfer RNA, 72 nt
Filed under: Bos taurus (domestic cattle)
Lineage: Eukaryota; Metazoa; Chordata; Mammalia; Artiodactyla; Bovidae
Also listed under: 2 other names
Rfam family: tRNA
About the family: Transfer RNA (tRNA) molecules are approximately 80 nucleotides in length. Their secondary structure includes four short double-helical elements and three loops (D, anti-codon, and T loops).
Source: Rfam by way of RNAcentral